Molecule: ribosomal RNA, 603 nt
Filed under: bacterium 4878K2-B17
Lineage: Bacteria
Description: bacterial SSU rRNA
Rfam family: Bacterial small subunit ribosomal RNA
Source: RNAcentral
GAUAGCUUGCUAUCAAUGCUGACGAGCGGCGGACGGGUGAGUAAUGCCUGGGAAUAUGCCCUGAUGUGGGGGAUAACUAUUGGAAACGAUAGCUAAUACCGCAUAAUCUCUUCGGAGCAAAGAGGGGGACCUUCGGGCCUCUCGCGUCAGGAUUAGCCCAGGUGGGAUUAGCUUGUUGGUGGGGUAAUGGCUCACCAAGGCAACGAUCCCUAGCUGGUCUGAGAGGAUGAUCAGCCACACUGGAACUGAGACACGGUCCAGACUCCUACGGGAGGCAGCAGUGGGGAAUAUUGCACAAUGGGGGAAACCCUGAUGCAGCCAUGCCGCGUGUAUGAAGAAGGCCUUCGGGUUGUAAAGUACUUUCAGUUGUGAGGAAGGCGUUGAUGUUAAUAGCUUCAGCGUUUGACGUUAGCAACAGAAGAAGCACCGGCUAACUCCGUGCCAGCAGCCGCGGUAAUACGGAGGGUGCGAGCGUUAAUCGGAAUUACUGGGCGUAAAGCGCAUGCAGGUGGUCUGUUAAGCAAGAUGUGAAAGCCCGGGGCUCAACCUCGGAACAGCAUUUUGAACUGGCAGACUAGAGUACUGUAGAGGGGGGUAGAAUUU